GCUGGUGUAGGUGAUGACAAUUCUUUCCCCGUCAGAGCGACAGUGUUGAUUUCUCACUUUUCAAGCCAGAUCAUGUCUGAUGCACCAGC
Molecule: small nucleolar RNA, 89 nt
Filed under: Phoenicopterus ruber ruber
Lineage: Eukaryota; Metazoa; Chordata; Aves; Phoenicopteriformes; Phoenicopteridae
Description: Small nucleolar SNORD12/SNORD106
Rfam family: Small nucleolar SNORD12/SNORD106
About the family: This family belong to the C/D class of snoRNA which contain the C (UGAUGA) and D (CUGA) box motifs. This family includes the human ortholog of mouse snoRNA HBII-99 and human snoRNA U106. In humans both HB11-99 and U106 snoRNAs share the same host gene.
Source: Rfam by way of RNAcentral